GAUGAAGAACGUAGCGAAAUGCGAUAAGUAAUGUGAAUUGCAGAAUUCAGUGAAUCAUCGAAUCUUUGAACGCAACUUGCGCCCUCUGGUAUUCCGGAGGGCAUGCCUGUUUGAGUGUCAUGUAGACUCAAUCCCUCGGGUUUCUGAGGAGGUUGGAUUUGGGUGCUUGCCUUCUGGCUCGCCUUAAAGGACUUAGCAGGAUAGCACUGUAGUCGACGUAAUAAGUCUUGUCGGUGAAAGUGUGAUGUCUGCUUACAGAUUGCCCUUGGGCACUUUUGACUCUGACCUCAAAUCAGGUAGGACUACCCGCUGAACUUAAGCAUAUCAAUAAGCGGAGGA
This 339-nucleotide unclassified non-coding RNA is filed under the name soil metagenome. Its description in RNAcentral is "partial contains 5.8S ribosomal RNA, internal transcribed spacer 2, and large subunit ribosomal RNA". The stretch from base 1 to 120 matches the Rfam family "5.8S ribosomal RNA", at positions 35 to 154 of the family's 154-position model. The record is from RNAcentral.